UGGGUUCACAAUAGGAGAUAAAGAGAUGGUGUCCUUGGUGCUUUACAGGUAUUCGCAUUAAGAAGUAUGUGAAGGUUCGACAUGGGGAAGACAUUGGAGUUAGAUUUUUUCCGUUGAGGUCUCUUGUGAUGGUUCGGAGAUCAAGCCGAUUCUUAUCCUAGUUACACCGAAAUUUGUUGCCAUCGUCACCAUCUACAGCUUCGCCAUCUGUACCACCGGACCACCCUUCUUCUCCUCGUUUUGAACCCACCGGAAGUGUGAAGAAAUGGUUCUUCCCAUUUGCGAGGCAACGUAUAUGUCCACUAUAAGUCGUUGGAUUCAGCUGUGAUGGCUUACAGUUCUGUACAUGGUCGUUAUUUUACUGGCAAACAGGCAUGAUGACUGCUAGCAAUUUCAAAGGGCUUAACGCUAUGGCAGUGAUUUGGAAAUGUAACUGCAAGUAGCACAACUACCAGCGAUAAGUAUUUCAGAUAUAGCGGUUCCCUUACAACUCCUCCAUGCUCGGAGGGUAUCACUUGGACAGUUGCCGAAAAGGUCAAAACAAUUUCAAAGGACCAAAUUGCUAAAAGGGGCUGUUGAUCAUGAAUUUCAACAUAAUGCAAGGCCUGUCCAAGAUCUUAAUGGAAGAACAGUUACACAAUUUGAAGACAGAGUUAAAUGUGAGUUUGUUAGUCUAACUAGAUGGAAGGUUGCCAUAUGCUGGGAGUACAUGAAAGCAAGGCUCAAGGAAUCUCUCACAAUCGGUUGAUUUUACUUUCAAUUUGUACUCGGAUCAUGCGACUUUGGUGUUGAAGGUGCAUACAGGCUGAUUCGGCGAUCUAGGGUUCGGUCGACGGUUUCAAGGGUCAUGUUGUCAUCAAAGUUCGUUGCCAGGUACAAACUUUCAUGUUGGUGAUGACAUGUAGGAGAGUAGGAAAAG
This 919-nucleotide long non-coding RNA is filed under the name Helianthus annuus (common sunflower). Its description in RNAcentral is "hypothetical non coding rna". The record is from RNAcentral. Lineage: Eukaryota; Viridiplantae; Streptophyta; Magnoliopsida; Asterales; Asteraceae.